AUUGAUAGAGGCGCGGCAACCAUCAGUAGCGUUACAGCACAGUUCGGAUAAACUUGUGCGUGAAAGGGGAAGCCGCCGAAACGGUUUUACGGUAUCCGCCGUAAUUCGGUUGGUGUAUUGCAAAAUAUGUAAUAUACUGUCACAUUUUAUGUGGAGAGCUAUCCUG
This 166-nucleotide non-coding RNA is filed under the name pig gut metagenome. RNAcentral's name for it is "Lysine riboswitch". It matches the Rfam family "Lysine riboswitch aptamer". Rfam says of the family: Riboswitches are metabolite binding domains within certain messenger RNAs that serve as precision sensors for their corresponding targets. Allosteric rearrangement of mRNA structure is mediated by ligand binding, and this results in modulation of gene expression. This family includes riboswitches that sense lysine in a number of genes involved in lysine metabolism, including lysC. The record is from RNAcentral.